This 529-nucleotide long non-coding RNA is filed under the name Selaginella moellendorffii. RNAcentral describes it as "long non-coding RNA (SMOE_LNC000784)". Lineage: Eukaryota; Viridiplantae; Streptophyta; Lycopodiopsida; Selaginellales; Selaginellaceae. The record is from RNAcentral.
UGUCACUCGCCUACAGAUGCUAGCGAAUCUCCACAAGCUCCUUCGUCACCAAGAACUAUAGACGACUUGCGGGAAGCGUCUGUGCCACCUCAAAGCCACUCGCCAGGAACUAUCGACGACUUGCGAGAAGUGUCCGUGCCACCUCUCAGUCACUCGCCUACAGCUGCUAGAGAUUCUCCACAAGCUCCUUGGUCGCCAGGAACUAUAGACGACUUGCGGGAAGCGUCUGUGCCACCCCAAAGCCACUCGCCAGGAACUAUCGACGACUUGCGAGAAGUGUCCGUGCCACCUCUCAGUCACUCGCCUACAGCUGCUAGAGAUUCUCCACAAGCUCCUUGGUCGCCAGGAACUAUAGACGACUUGCGGGAAGCGUCUGUGCCACCUCAAAGCCACUCGCCAGGAACUAUCGACGACUUGCGAGAAGUGUCCGUGCCACCUCUCAGUUACUCGCCUACAGCUGCUAGAGAUUCUCCACAAGCUCCUUGGUCGCCAGGAACUAUAGACAACUUGCAAGAAGUGUCCGUGCCAC